Molecule: non-coding RNA, 74 nt
Organism: Trichonephila inaurata madagascariensis
Lineage: Eukaryota; Metazoa; Arthropoda; Arachnida; Araneae; Nephilidae
Source: the annotation of a GenBank genome assembly
GCCGAAAUAUAGCUCCAGUGGAGAGCGUUAAGACUGAAGAUCCAAAGGUCCCUGGUUCAAUCCGGGUUUCGGCA